This 1094-nucleotide long non-coding RNA is filed under the name Sinocyclocheilus anshuiensis. RNAcentral's name for it is "lncRNA (ENSSANG00000017877.1)". The record is from RNAcentral. Lineage: Eukaryota; Metazoa; Chordata; Actinopteri; Cypriniformes; Cyprinidae.
GGAACAGCCCACUUCCUGAACACAUGAGCCUGAAAGCACAGCCUCUGCAGCUGAGAAUCAGAAGAGGGCGCCCUAACUGGGAUUCCUAAAUGUCACCUCCUAUGAAGAUAGCAGAAGCUGGCCGUUCCCAGACACUGGAACAGAUACGUGACCUGAGAGACCUGCGUGUGGAAGGGCCGUGAUGAGUGCGGGGUCAGCUGGCGGCCAUGGCGACAGAGGGGUCAGUCUGCGGCCUCGGUUCAUCUCUCGGUCAACAUCAGAUAACGAGUUGAUCCAGCAUUCUUUUGACCGAGGUGAUGCAGAGACAGAGCUCGGCUCGAUCAGGACGACGUCUCGGCCAAACCCCCGUCGUGCCUCCCCAGCCCGCCCACAGCCGAUCAAUAUGACUGGAGUUGGAGAUACAGAAGCCCGCUCCCCGCACCGGCUGCGAGUGAGAUAGCGUGCGCCCGAGAGCCCUGAUAAGACCGCAGCAGGACCUGCCGUUCAUGCCAGCUGAACCUGCCCGCGAGACCCGCCAGUGCCAGUGCCAGUGCCAGUGACACUUUUAAUGGGUUCUGUGGAGCACAGGCUGACAGAUGACUGACUGGACCUUUUCUUUCUCUCUUUCCAUAAAUUUGUCUUUUUCUCUUUUGGGCGCACGUUGUGAACGUUUCAUUUUUCCCAAUUUCUGUGAAAGCACAACCCUCUGCACCAGAUCCCAUAUUCCAUAUUAUGAAGAAUUUCUUGUGUUUUUCACACUUUCUGGCUAUAUUCAGAAUAGCAUACUACUGUUCUGCUCUUACUAUUUUUACAGUAUACAGUGUAUAUAUACUGUGGAUAGUUAGCAAAUUUUCUGUAUGCAUGGAAUGCCUGCUACAUCCUGCUAUAUGAAUGAAUUUUAUAUAUGAAUUCGGUUUCACAUAUUUAAGAAAUGGUUGGCAUAGCUGAGUACAUACUACUAUGGAAGCUUGUUUAGAGAGUUACCAUCACGCAAUUAUGAAUUAUAUAUGUAUAUAUAUAUAUAUGUAUUUUUUUAUUAUAAUAUUUUUAUUUUUUAUUUUUUUUAGAGUUGCAAGUUUGUAUCUGGCAAUUUCGAGUUUUGAGGGGGGGGGGGA